GAAAAUAAUAUGAUAUAUAUUUAGUCAAAUAAAUUUAUUACAUGAGACUUAGGUAUAAAGAAAAAAAAGUGUGUAUAAUUAACAUAUAUGUUUUUAUGAAUGUAUAUAUAAAUGGGAGACAUUAACCGUGCUAGCCUGGAGAGUUGCAUGGCACAACUAGUAUCUGAGAUGAGCCAUGCUGGCUGAGGUGAAGAGAGGGUGAUGCUUAACGUGGAGGGCAUGUGGUGUGAAUGUCCCUGCAAAUUAUG
RNAcentral lists this long non-coding RNA (248 nucleotides) under Phaseolus vulgaris (common bean). RNAcentral describes it as "long non-coding RNA (PVUL_LNC002045)". Lineage: Eukaryota; Viridiplantae; Streptophyta; Magnoliopsida; Fabales; Fabaceae. The record is from RNAcentral.